RNAcentral lists this microRNA precursor (103 nucleotides) under Marmota monax (woodchuck). The record is from RNAcentral. Lineage: Eukaryota; Metazoa; Chordata; Mammalia; Rodentia; Sciuridae.
GGUGAGAUAGCUGGGUCAGAUGGUGGUUCCAUUCCAAGUGUUCUGAGGAAUCUCCAUACUGUUUUCCAGAUUGGUGGCACCAAUUUGCAGUUCCACCAGCAAU